GAUGAACGCUAGCGACAGGCCUAACACAUGCAAGUCGAGGGGCAGCAUAAAGGUAGCAAUACUUUGGUGGCGACCGGCGCACGGGUGAGUAACACGUAUGCAACCUACCUGUAAGAGGGGAAUAACCCGGAGAAAUUCGGACUAAUACCGCAUAAUACUGAUUAUCUGCAUGGAUUGAUCAGUUAAACAUUUAUGGCUUACAGAUGGGCAUGCGUAUGAUUAGAUAGUUGGUAGGGUAACGGCCUACCAAGUCAACGAUCAUUAGGGGUUCUGAGAGGAAGGUCCCCCACACUGGUACUGAGACACGGACCAGACUCCUACGGGAGGCAGCAGUGAGGAAUAUUGGUCAAUGGGCGAGAGCCUGAACCAGCCAAGUCGCGUGAAGGAAGAAGGUUCUAUGGAUUGUAAACUUCUUUUGUAAGGGAAUAAAAAGAGUUACGUGUAACUUAUUGUAUGUACUUUACGAAUAAGGAUCGGCUAACUCCGUG
This 488-nucleotide ribosomal RNA is filed under the name uncultured bacterium. RNAcentral describes it as "bacterial SSU rRNA". It matches the Rfam family "Bacterial small subunit ribosomal RNA", at positions 28 to 507 of the family's 1533-position model. The record is from RNAcentral. RNAcentral also lists the same sequence under 1 other name.